GCGAUCAUACCAGCACUAAUGCACCGGAUCCCAUCAGAACUCUGAAGUUAAGCGUGCUUGGGCGAGAGCAGUACUAAGAUCGGUGACCCCCUGGGAAGUCCUCGUGUUGCACUU
RNAcentral lists this ribosomal RNA (114 nucleotides) under Zingiber officinale. Lineage: Eukaryota; Viridiplantae; Streptophyta; Magnoliopsida; Zingiberales; Zingiberaceae. The record is from RNAcentral.